Long non-coding RNA from Cygnus olor (mute swan), 2462 nucleotides. RefSeq lists it as uncharacterized. The transcript is spliced from 4 exons. The record is from RefSeq and is a predicted model, not a curated record. Lineage: Eukaryota; Metazoa; Chordata; Aves; Anseriformes; Anatidae.
GGAAAAAACCAUUGCAGCAGCUGCAGCCAGUGGUGUCUACUGCCAGAUGUGCUAAGGUUCCUGGGCUCCUUGACACUAAAAGGCAGCAUAAAAAUAUUUGGAGACAAAAGCUGCAUCCUCAGUGAUGAUUCUCUUUAUUUAACAUGGCAGCAGGCACCGUGUGUGGGAAAAUCAACAUGCUGGAUGUUGAAUUGGACUUUCCUCCUUUCUAGGAUGAAAGGAUGUUAUCUAUCCCGUGCCAAGAGGGAACUGAGAGCAAUGAACAUAUGGCUGUUACUAUCAGCACUGGUGUAUUUGCAGCGAUGCCUAUCAACAUCCACCAGAGAGCAGGGCAGCUCUAAAACCCACAUCUUUCAUGCUGUGGAAAUUGAUGGAGACAGCAACACAGCCAGCUUCUUGGCCAAACAACAUGGAAUGCAGUUCAUUUCAAAGGUACUGGUCUCUUAGCCUGUAAGGCUUGUGCAUGAUGUAUAUGAGAGUGAUUUCCAGCAGAGAGAAGCUUAUCACAGAUCCACCUAAAAGGAAGAGACGAUGGCACCAACAACGUGUUCCUCUGUCUGAAAGACAUAAUUGCUUGAUGGAAGAAUAGUCUGUUUGACUCCUGGGUGUGAUGGAAGUGAUGCUGGUAAGGAAGGAAAAUAUUUCCAGGAACUGAAGAAUGAUUAUAGCAUCUCUAAGGAGGACAUUUGCCUGUGACUGUUAAAGUGCUGAAUUGACUUUCCUGAUCCUUGAUAAAUAAAUGGAAAGAAUGCUUUCUGUUACUGGAGGCUGUGCUGGAGGUUGCACCUUUUCCUGUCAGAUAUGGACUUUGCUACAGUGAUUCAAGGCUUGUUUAUCACUGGAUUACUUCAGACUGUUCUGCUUGGGUUUGUCAGCUGAGAAGCAUAGAGACAUCAGAUGUUAAAGCUUGAUGAAAUUUCUAAGCAACAUAAAGAAGAGUGCAACCUGUUGUUUAGAUGUGUCAACAUACGACAUUGAAAUAUCUUCAAGGACAUGGUCAUUGUCUCCAAAUUGCCUAGUGGGUAAGCACCCUGGGGACUGAGCUAUGGGGAUAUCCUGUAUGAUAAAGAUCAGUCCUUUUAAGCAAGGACUGACUCUUUUCAGAGGAGGUUCUUAGGCCUGAACAUAGGGAGGGGUUUUGCCAGCUAGUGCACAUGAUGGGAAUGCACUAUUUUUGCAUAAUAUUUCCUCCAGUAGAGUGGCAUUACUUCCUUCCAUUACAUUCCUCUGCAACCUGCAUACUCUAAAAAAUAAAAUGUAUUUUACCAGUAUGUGUGCUGAGUUUUCAGUAUGAUACCUAAUGCAUGUCGUAUUAUGAUGUUUUCACGGUAAAUUCUUACUUAUGUAUUUUCAUGCUACUUCAAUAAAACCAUCAAAACUGAAAGUCAAAGCAAAACAAAAACAAAGAGGUAAAAAUAUAUGGAAUAGGAUAAACCAAUUAUCAUCUUUAUUAUGAGUGUUGUUUGCUAAAAACAUCAGCUUUGAUUUAGCUUUAUGAGGUAACUUCAGUGGAAAUUUAUUUUGCAAAACUACAAAAAAAAAAAAAUCUGAAACUAUCACUUCUGCUUUUACAAUAAUUUUUUAAUACUCCACAGGCUGCAUAAGACUACAAAGUAGUGGAUUAGCAUGAGGGGAAGAUGGUUACUACUUGUGAGAAGGCCUUUCUUUUUGUUCCACAAUAUAUUUAUGGUGCUAUAUAGCUAAAUAAGAGGUGUGUCCUAUUUUAAGUCGCAACAUGCACUUAUGGAUCUAUGCCCUUAUGGAUCCUUUUGAUGGAAAAAUGUUUCUUUGUAAACGGCAUGGCUACUGUGAUGAAUUGUUAGGUUUUCUAUAAAUACAUACGUAAUGAAAAGAGAAUGUUAAAAUUCAUAUAAAUGUAUUUGCAUUGUUUUUAAUAUGUAAUUUUAACUUUUUUACCAUGCUGGAAAGAAUGAGAGUUGUUAGAUUCACGUUAUGAUUAAAGGUUAGCAUUAUUUCUGUUUUCUAUGGUAAAUAAAAUCAAAUAAAACAAGUUCAAGAACUCAGGAGUUGUCCACAAAACUUUUGACCAUCAGGAUUUCUCUCUUUGUUCCUCCUCCUGUCAGUAUAAUGCAGCCUGAUGAUUCUGGUCAUUACAGCCAGUGUACCUCUGGUGAGGGUGACCAUGACGACACCAAAGACUUUUGUGCUUCUGUUAUUGCCUCUAGGCCUGAAAUGAGGUGAGGCUGCAGGCAAGUGGGGUAAAGUCAUUAGUAUCUCAUAAAAACUCGUUGUUAAUGUACCAUAUGAUGAAACAGAAGGAACUCUCUCUGCUGCUUAUACUGACAACAAAUAAAGAGCAAGGGAAAAGAUUUAGAUGUAAAAAUAUUCCCCCUUGCAGGAACAGCAUGAAUCAGCUGCAGGUUGUUUCACACGUUCUUGUAUAGGGGUAGGCAGAGCAAGUAGGAAUUUUGCAGAGGACAUUUCUAUAUUGAUUUUAUAAA